UAGCAAGUGAGGUGGAAGCAGUAACAAUAAAAAUGCAGCAAAAGCAGAAGCAGAGGAUAAGCAGAAGGUACAGGAAGGCCUAAAAAUGGGGACCACACAUGAGGUUCGACAUGGCUGUCAAUUUUAUGGCAUUUUUGUGUGGAUCGGGUAUGCUAGGAGGGACCAUCUUAACGGUAUAUCAUAUCUGUGUAAAAUAUAACUACCAAAAACCUCAUCAAUACUCAGCAUGAAUUGGACUUGGAUCGAUCCUCGCUGUCCCAAUUGCAGUUUCGACAACUUCACCCUAAACGACACAGAUCCAAACAAACAAUUAACGGAAAAUUGGUCGGAACUAAUCCAAGACCAUGCGGUGACCCUGUCUUUAUUAUUCCUAUUUUCGCUAUGUACGGUUUUCGGGAAUACCUUGGUAAUACUUGCCGUGGUACGCGAAAGGUACUUGCAUACCCCUACGAACUAUUUCAUAACAUCUCUUGCUGUUGCUGACUGUUUAGUGGGACUUGUAGUGAUGCCCUUUAGUGCCCUUUAUGAAGUUCUGGAACAUACGUGGUUCUUUGGACCCGACUGGUGUGACAUUUGGCGAUCGUUAGACGUACUAUUUUCAACCGCAUCCAUUUUAAAUUUAUGUGUCAUAAGCCUGGACCGGUACUGGGCUAUAACUGAUCCAAUUGCUUAUCCAAUGCGCAUGACUCGCUUACGUAGCAUAAUUCUUAUAGCAGCUGUAUGGGUAUGCUCCAGUGCUAUAUCGUUUCCAGCUAUAGUUUGGUGGAGAGCAGUACGAUAUGAACCUAUACCUUUAGGCAAAUGCCCUUUUACAGAAAAUCUUGGAUACCUUAUGUUCUCUUCUAUAAUAUCAUUUUAUUUGCCAUUGUUUGUUAUGGUGUACACCUACUACAGGAUUUAUAGAGCUGCUGUAGCACAGACCAAAAGUUUGAGGCUGGGAACCAAGCAAAUAUUGAUAGGGGCAGAAAGUGCCGAGCUAACGCUACGUAUGCAUCGGGGUGGUACUGGACGAACACCACAAAAUAGUACAGUGGAAAGUAGGAACCAGUAUAGUACCGCAGAGGAUGAACCCUUAACAGCAUUAGCGAAUAACGGUCUAAACAGAAUACCAUCUACACGUCUCGGAGGUGCUCACAGUAAAAACUUCUCACUGAGCAGAAAACUGGCAAAGUUCGCCAAAGAAAAAAAGGCUGCAAAGACAUUGGGAAUAGUCAUGGGGGUGUUUAUAGUAUGCUGGCUGCCCUUUUUCGUGGUGAAUCUUUUAUCCGGAUUUUGUCUGCAGUGCAUUUGGCACGAGAAGAUUGUUCUGGCCGUUGUCACGUGGUUGGGGUGGAUCAACUCAAGCAUGAAUCCUGUAAUCUAUGCUUGUUGGAGUCGAGAUUUUAGGCGGGCUUUUCUUCGAAUCCUCUGCGUGUGCUGCCCCAGAUCAAUCAGGCGAAAAUACCAGCCAGCUUUCAGGAGUAAACCUAGUCAGCGUUUUUCAUCUACCCGGUACUAUUCCGCAUACUCACUACGCCACAACUCAUGCGAGCAGACGUUUAUAUAGCAAAGGGCCCCCUCCAAAUCCAAUCCUCCCUCCCUUUGUGUUGCCGCCUCCUUACCAUUUGCUCGAUCUACCUCUGUCUUUUAUUUUUAAAUUUUUAAACUUUAACUCUCUGUUGCCGGAAGUAAUAGCCUUAUCCUUAUUGAUCCGAUCCAAAAUUCAUGGGGCACGAAGCUAUAUACAAAAGGACACGAGAUAUAUACACACUACUUCAACUCUCACACUCAAGUCCUGGAACCAACCCCGAGCAACUGCACUUACUCGUCCGUCGGCCAACACGAGUUAUACCAGUUAUGACGUCACGUCAAACACCACCAAUCAGCUCUUCCCAUUCCGACAGCACUGGGAGCUCCUGGGAGUCCCCCACAAAGGAUUAUCCACUCCUGCAACCCUUCACCGAGCUCCAUUCGAGUGGCAUAACGUUUAAUUUGUAGUUUUGAUUUUUAAAGUUAAUGAAGUUUGAUUGAUUAAUAGGACAAUCAGUUAUUGCGCAAAUUAUAUUGAUCGCCAUAUGUAAUAUAGUAUUUAGUUUG
RNA transcript from Anthonomus grandis grandis, 2076 nucleotides. It is a transcript of the gene named dopamine receptor 2-like, with no coding region annotated. The transcript is spliced from 6 exons. NCBI's taxonomy places the organism in Eukaryota, Metazoa, Arthropoda, Insecta, Coleoptera, Curculionidae. The record is from RefSeq and is a predicted model, not a curated record.